This is a non-coding RNA of Capsicum annuum, 103 nucleotides long. NCBI's taxonomy places the organism in Eukaryota, Viridiplantae, Streptophyta, Magnoliopsida, Solanales, Solanaceae. The record is from Rfam.
GUCCCUCCAGGAACAUCCCAUAAAAUUGAAACUGAACAGGAAAGAUUAGCAUGACCGCUUCGCAAGAGAGACACGCACAAAUCAAGAAAUGAAAAUAGUGAAG